CCGGAUUUCUUUUUCAGGUGAUCUUCUUCCUCUGUUUGCCGCUGGAAGGGAGCCGCCGGAUCUUCGCCAGGGCUGAGGUAAGGAUUCUAGCUUCACCACUUUGUUAUACCAUUUGAUAAAAUAAGAAGAAGAAGAAGAAGAAGAGAGAAGGAAAAGGAGGGGGAGGCACCUGUGGCAGUCGGCAUGCCUUCGGCCACAGGCGUCGCCAGCCCUCAGUGGCGGCCACCUUGAGGACCGGAGAGCACCACCUUCCCUUGUUCCUCUUCUCUGUUCAGUGAAAACAGAGAAGGAAUAGUGGAAGGAGAAAGAGAGAAAGAAAGAAAGAAAGGAGAAGAGAGGGAAGAAGGAGAAGGCCGACUGCU
Molecule: long non-coding RNA, 362 nt
Filed under: Phoenix dactylifera (date palm)
Lineage: Eukaryota; Viridiplantae; Streptophyta; Magnoliopsida; Arecales; Arecaceae
Description: long non-coding RNA (PDAC_LNC015436)
Source: RNAcentral